CCUACGGGAGGCAGCAGUGGGGAAUAUUGCGCAAUGGGCGAAAGCCUGACGCAGCGACGCCGCGUGAGGGAUGAAGGUCUUCGGAUCGUAAACCUCUGUCAGCAGGGAAGAACGGUCACUGUGCUAAUCAGCAGUGAAUUGACGGUACCAGCAAAGGAAGCACCGGCUAACUCCGUGCCAGCAGCCGCGGUAAUCCGGAGGGUGCGAGCGUUAAUCGGAAUUACUGGGCGUAAAGCGCUCGUAGGCGGUAUGUCAAGUCAAGGGUGAAAUCCCCGCGCUCAACGUGGGAACUGCCUUUGAAACUGGCAAACUGGAGUGUGUGAGAGGAGAGUGGAAUUCCAGGUGUAGGGGUGAAAGCCGUAGAUAUCUGGAGGAACAUCAGUGGCGAAGGCGACUAUCUGGCACAUAACUGACGCUGAGGAGCGAAAGCGUGGGUAGCAAACAGGAUUAGAUACCCCUGUAGUC
Molecule: ribosomal RNA, 465 nt
Filed under: uncultured bacterium
Lineage: Bacteria
Description: partial 16S ribosomal RNA
Rfam family: Bacterial small subunit ribosomal RNA
Source: RNAcentral